GGAGGGGACGCAUAUCGGCUCGUGCAGAGGUUUGCUAAACCUCGACCCCGUAAGGGGUCAGGUGGGUUCGACUCCCACUCCCUCCG
RNAcentral lists this transfer RNA (86 nucleotides) under Candidatus Yanofskyibacteriota bacterium. Its description in RNAcentral is "Candidatus Yanofskybacteria bacterium tRNA-Ser". It matches the Rfam family "tRNA". Rfam says of the family: Transfer RNA (tRNA) molecules are approximately 80 nucleotides in length. Their secondary structure includes four short double-helical elements and three loops (D, anti-codon, and T loops). The record is from RNAcentral. Lineage: Bacteria; Candidatus Yanofskyibacteriota.